RNAcentral lists this microRNA (21 nucleotides) under Medicago truncatula (barrel medic). RNAcentral describes it as "mtr-miR2592bq-5p". The record is from miRBase by way of RNAcentral. Lineage: Eukaryota; Viridiplantae; Streptophyta; Magnoliopsida; Fabales; Fabaceae.
CGACCAUGACUCAAGUAUUAA